AUGCCGGGGCUGUCUGUGCCCUCUCUCCGUGCCCGAGCGCCGGCCGGCCCCGGGGGCGGGCAGAACUCAUCGCAGGGUGCCUGGCACGGCUGCUGGGGGGCACAGCCCCGCUGUUCGGGGGCUCCCUGCUCGGGGUGGGGACAGGGCACCCUCUGCGCUUCGGGAUGGGCUCACAGACCCGGCUGGGCAGAUCCUGCUGCUCCCGGAGCCCCGGGACCGCGGGGACUCGUCCCGCCGGCGGCGGGGGCUGCGGGCGAGGGAAAUGGCGGAGAGAGCCGGGGAUGGGGAGAGGGGAGGAGGAGGAGGAAGGGAGGGCGGGGGACUGUGCGGGCUCGGCAUGCGUGGGCAGGGGGCGGGUGCGACAGCGUGUGCGGGUGUGCCCUUGUGUGUGUGUGCGUGUGCGUGUAUGCAUUUGUGCGUGUGCAUUUGUGUGUGUGCGUGUGCAGGGGUGUGUGCACAGCCGGGCACGCCCCCGUGCCUGUGCCCCGUGUCCCGGCCCACCCGCGGCGGGGGCGCACGGAUCCCACUCCCCGGAGCGGGGGGAGCGCCGGGACUCGGCCAGGGAGGCGUCGUGCACUCCCUUCCCCCUCAUCCGCGUUUCCGCCGUGGGGUUUGGGGAGAUGGGGUGAAUUAUGGGGAAUGAUGGGGGGGCGGUGUUCCGAGCAUCGCUGCUGCCCCCUUCCCCCCCACCCAUGGAAGCUGCGCCUGCAGCGGGGCUGGAGCCCCCCGCCCGCCCCGGUACCACGGCAGGCAGAGGCUGCAGGGGCGGACACGAUUCACACACUCCCCCCGCACCCACGGCCCCGCGCCCGGCCAGGAGCCUUCCCGGCCCCUCCCCAGCCCUACCCCGGCCCCGCCGCGCUUUUCGCAUCCUCCGCCGGGAGGGGGGGGGAUCACACCGGGCACGCAGGGCUCCCCCGGGGGCCGCCCCCCGUUGACCAGGGGGUGAGGGUCGGUGGGGGGAUGGCCCCAGUCGCAGGGGCGGGGACCCCCGGCCGCGGCGGGGCAUCUCGGCGCUGCUGCCGGCGGCCGCGGGAGGGCGUCGCCUGUGUUAGUUCCCUCCGGAGAACCCAGGGCCAGCGCCGCCGCCACCGCCCCCCGGGCCCCGCCGCCUCCCCCCGCCCGCGGAGGCCCCUCUUGAGCGGCGGGUGA
RNAcentral lists this long non-coding RNA (1152 nucleotides) under Junco hyemalis (dark-eyed junco). Its description in RNAcentral is "lncRNA (ENSJHYG00000000683.1)". The record is from RNAcentral. Lineage: Eukaryota; Metazoa; Chordata; Aves; Passeriformes; Passerellidae.